RNAcentral lists this long non-coding RNA (4422 nucleotides) under Marmota monax (woodchuck). The record is from RNAcentral. Lineage: Eukaryota; Metazoa; Chordata; Mammalia; Rodentia; Sciuridae.
UUUUUACUAAGUUAUUAGGCAAUUGAGACUGUAUUUUUCUGUUAAGAUGUUUAAAUUACAAUGUCCAUUGCUUUUAGGGUUCUUCCUUGGCAGGAAAAAUAUGCUUAAAAUGAUAACUAUACUUGUCUGAUAUCUUGUUUUUCAUUGGUAAGCUAAAAAAGCUGUUUAAGUAGGUAAAUUAGGUUUUAUAGAAAUGGGAUAAGCAUUGGUAAAUGUAUUGGAAAAAAACCUGAGUCAUGUGUAAGUUAAAAUUCUAAAUUGUCAGUCAUUAACUAUAGAUUAAAGUACUCUUGACAUCUUAAAUAUUUUAAAAUACAUAUUUGGGUCUAUUAAUAAAUGUGUUUUUAUAAAUUGUUGGUGUAUGAAAAAAAAGAAGUUUAGUAUUGCUUUGUAAAGUCCCCUAAAAUUAAUUUCAUCUAAAGUUCUGUUCAAAAGGAUAAAUUUUUGGCAUAAACAAUAUUACAAUUCCAAAAUUGAUAUAAUAUAAAAUUAAGUAUGAAUUUGGGUGAGUAUAAUAGGGAUUUGAAAGUUGUAAAAGGAUUUUUAAAAGGAAAUAGAACUUGUAAAAGAUUUUAUGUGUGACUGAGUUGACAAAGUAUGGAUUUUUGUGUAGGCUAAACAGUCAUAUAAGGUACUUUAAUGUUACAAAAUUAUGUUUUUUGGUUCAGAAAUAUUAUACAAACUGAAUAUUUAUUAUUAAUUUUAUUUUGUAUUUUCUUUGUGAAAUUGUUGCCUGGUAGCAGUUUGCAGAAGUAAAAUUUCCAACAGAAUAACCUGAGGUAUUUUGAGACAGUGAGUCAUCACCUACAUGACACUGAUAUGAACUGACUCCCCAAACUAAUACUGACCCUGAGGUAAUGGAAGGUGUAACUGUAAAAUGGCAAAUGUUAAAUUAAAACCUACUACUCCCAGUUCAUGACUGGUAGAACUGACCUCCCAGGUAUUCAACAACUGAGACAUGGAGCUGAAAGCCAAGGAAAACAACAGAGCUAAGGAAAAAUAGCCAACAUUUGGGUCUUCUCUUCCAAGGUCUUUUAGGACCUGAGGAACUAUGGGACCCCCCUAAGGGCCUGUCACUUUGGUGAAUCACCUGACCUACUGCACAGGGGGAUUUGAGAACAGGAAGCCAAUCAGUGUAUGUUCUGCAUAGAGGAGGGUCGUUGGAAAGGAAAAUAUCCCUAAAACUUCCAAGGUAAGCCACAUGGUCAGCAGGUCCCUGACCCAUACUGACAGAUGGCCCAACUAGAAGAAGAAAAAGACUGAAGGAACCAGGAGACCUUCACAAGUUCCUAAAAGUAACUCCCAGGGAGUCUCAGGUGACCUUAAUAGUAGAACAGAAAAUGGUUAAUUUUUGACCAACACAGGGGUCAUGUAUGUGAUCUUGAAUGCCCAACAUGGAAGUAUAACUGAAGACAAAUAUACUCACAUAAGGGAAGAAGAAAAGUGAAAGGACGGUUAUGUAGGCAUGAACAUUUAAAAGGAAAAAGACAAGGUCCUUGUAAAUAUAACUUUAGAUGUACACUUAUGCCAGCCCUACAAAAGUCAAAAAGAUUCUGAUGUAUGAUAUGUGAUAAUAACUAUCAAAAGAGACUGUGUUGAAAUUACAAGUUUAUUCUGAGUUAGCUUGAUUCCGAUUUAAUAGAACUGCUAUUAAAAAAUUCCAAAUCUUGAGAUGUAUAAAGAUGUAAAAGGUAUAGGUUUACUUGUCUAAAUUCAGACGGUUGUUACCACUAUUAGGACCUUUGGUUAUUGCUUUAGUCAGAUUUUUCACUGCUGUGACCAAAAAUCCAACAAGAACAAUAUUAAGGAGGAAAAGUUUAUUUUGUGGCUCAUGGUUUCAGAGGUCUCAGUCCAUACAUAGCUGGCUCCAUUCCUAGGGUCUCUAGGUGAGGUUCAACCUCAUAGUGGAAGAGUGUAGUGGAGGAAAGCAGCUCAGGACAUGAUCAGGAAGCAGAAGGAAAGAGCUCUGCUCAACAAGGACAAAAUACAAACCCCAUAGGCGUGUCCCCAGGAACCUUCCUCCACACCCUUCCAUCUUGAUGUCCUGCCUCACCUCAGACACAGAGUGAUGGAGUCAGCCAUCUAUGGACUGAGAUCUCUGAAAUUAUGAGCGCCAAAGAAACCUUCCUCCUCUAAAAUUAUUGUCAGGUCUUUUGAUCACAUCAGUCAAAAAACUGACUAAAAUUUAAAUUGGUAUCAAGAAGUGGGGUUGUUGCUGGACUAACCUGACCAUGUGGUUCAGAAGCUUUUGGAGCUUUUUAAAAUUUGGGAAGAAAUUCUGAAAAGUUUAGAGAUUUAAAUCUGGAAAAGUUUUAGAUUGUUGUAAGCAGAGCUUCGUGAGUGACUGUAGUGAGAGCUGGGAAGACCAGAGUGCCAAUAGGACUGUGAACGGUGAAGUCUGAGCUCAUGAGUUUUCAGAGCAGGAGGAGGACUCUAUUGGACAUUGGACUAAAGGUCAUUUGUGUUAUGUUCUGGCUAAGGAGUUGUCUAUAAUUUGUACAUGUCCUGAGGCUUUCUGUUAGACUGAAUUUAAAGGUGAUGGAGUAAUUAAUAUGGUGGAGAAAAUUGUAAGACAGUACAGCCUUCAGGACACCUCCUGAAGGUAUCCUGGAUGUUGCUGGCAUCUUUUAGCCAAGUUUAUUCUAAUAAUUAGGAGCAGAAAGCAAAGCAGAAAAUUUGAAGAACUUGUAGUUUGGCCAGAAAACUGUGAGUAGCCACGGGCUAGGGAAGGUGUGGUAGUUAAAAGAUAUUACAGCCACUAAAGAAACAUUAAUUACUUUACCUAGGAACAAUGGGAAAGAUGAAUUGAGGGGAUUUCAGGAAUCUGUAGAACCUUACCCAUCUCAGGCUCAAAGGUGUAAAAAUAAAAAUUCCCUUAAGCAGAGACCAGUGAGGCGUACUUACACAGAGGCGCUUAGGAAGUUGUUUCACCUUGCUCAGCCAUCCAGGUACUCAGAGGUUGCUGCGAUGAGGGCCCCAGGAGGCUUGACUACUGCUUGAGGAGGUGGCAGACCUUGGCAUCAACCAUGUGGUGUUGUUUCUGCAGGGAUCCAGGACAUUGGAAUUAGGGGGUCAUGGAGGCUUCCACCAAGAUUUCAAAGCAAGUCCUGGGAUGCCAGGCAAAGUGCAAGAGAGUCAGAGUCCCUGCAGGUAGCUCCUGAAAAGGCAAUGUAUGGAGCUAUGAGAAGGAAGCCAAAGCUGCAUUUGGGACUACCAAGAUUAAGAAAUGCCAGUAAUGUGGAAAUAUGCAGGAAUCAAGCAGAAACAAGUCAAGAGAGGCCAUGUGGGCUGCAACCAUCAAGGCCAUAGGGGCAGAGCUACACAAGCCUUUGAAGAAAACCUCAUGAAUCCAUGUGCUUCAGAUAGGGAAGCUAUAGAACUUGUUUGCCCAGCUGGAUUUCAGUCUUGUUUUGGGCCUGUCUCUUCUUUCUAUGCUGCUGUUUCUCUCCGUGGAAAUGUUUACUGUGUGCAUUUUUAUAUUGCAUAUGUGUAACUUGUUUUUGGUUUUAAUAGGGGCUCAUGCUAAGAGUUUGCCUUGAGUCUCCGUGGAGACUUCGGAUUUGGACUUUUGGGUGAAUUUAGAACUGGUGAUAUUUUGGGACUCUUGAAAAUGAACUAAAGAUAUUUUUGCGCUGUGAGAUGAGCAUGAGCUUUUGGGGCCCAAGAGUGUAAUGUUAUGAUUUAGACAUUAGUGUUCCCCCAAAAGCUUAGAUGUGAGAAAAUACAAGAAAGUUUAUAUGUGAAAUGAUUGGGUUAUGAGAGUCUUAACCUAAUAACGCAUUAAUCCUCUGAUAGGAAUUAACUGGGUGGUAAUUGUUAGGAGGUAGUAUGGGCCUGGAGGAGGUGGUCACUGGGGGCGUGCCUUUGGAGUUUAUAUUUUGUCAUGGCAAGGAGAGCUCUCUCUCUGCUUCCUGGUAUCCAUGACCUGAGCUGUUUUAUCCUCCACACCCUUCUAUUAAGGCACAGAGCAAUGAAGUUGGCCAUCUAUGGACUAAAACCUCUGAAACUGUGAUUGACAAAUUUUUCCUUCUCUAAAAUUGUUCUUGUCAGGUCUUUUGGUCACAGCACUAAAAAAAGCUGACUACAACUGCCGCAGUCUGGCUGGGCACAAUCAGGAGCCACUUGUCAAAAGAAACUAACUUUAUUUUUAGAACCACACACGACAAACAAAAUAGUCUCUCAGGAAAAACCCUCAGAGCCUCAACUGCCACCACGGCUUUCCACAAGCCUCUCUCUCCCACACAAGCUUCUCUCCACCUCCCACAAUCCUCCUGCUCUUGAGGCCGAUUGGCUGGGUCACGUGGGCGGAGCCAAAAAAGUCCCCCAAUGAGCAGCUCCGUGGUCUGAAAGGGCAGGGAAACAGUCCAAUGAGCAUCACCGCAGAGGAGCCAAUCAGCUAGAUGUUGCUGGGGCCGAGGAGCC